GUCUAUGGCCAUACUAUCCUGAACACACCUGAUCUUGUCUGAUAUCAGAAGCCAAGCAGGAUUGGGCCUGGUUAGUACUUGGAUGGGAGCCUGUGGCUCUGGCUGCACAGACU
Ochotona princeps (American pika) is the source of this 113-nucleotide ribosomal RNA. Lineage: Eukaryota; Metazoa; Chordata; Mammalia; Lagomorpha; Ochotonidae. The record is from Ensembl.